UUGUUGGUAAGGUAAAGGCUUACCAAGGCUUCGAUCAGUAGCUGGUCUGAGAGGACGGCCAGCCACACUGGGACUGAGACACGGCCCAGACUCCUACGGGAGGCAGCAGUGGGGAAUUUUGGACAAUGGGGGAAACCCUGAUCCAGCCAUGCCGCGUGAGUGAAGAAGGCCUUCGGGUUGUAAAGCUCUUUCAGCCGGAACGAAACGGUUACGGAUAAUACCCGUGACUACUGACGGUACCGGAAGAAGAAGCACCGGCUAACUACGUGCCAGCAGCCGCGGUAAUACGUAGGGUGCGAGCGUUAAUCGGAAUUACUGGGCGUAAAGCGUGCGCAGGUGGUUUUGUAAGUCAGAUGUGAAAGCCCCGGGCUCAACCUGGGAACUGCGUUUGAAACUACAAGACUAGAGUGUGGCAGAGGGGGGUGGAAUUCCGCGUGUAGCAGUGAAAUGCGUAGAGAUGUGGAGGAACACCGAUGGCGAAGGCAGCCCCCUGGGUUAACACUGACACUCAGGCACGAAAGCAUGGGGAGCAAACAGGAUUAGAUACCCUGGUAGUCCGUGCCCUAAACGAUGUCAACUAGUUGUCGGGCCUUUACGGGCUUGGUAACGUAGCUAACGCGUGAAGUUGACCGCCUGGGGAGUACGAUCGCAAGAUUAAAACUCAAAUGAAUUGACGGGGACCCGCACAAGCGGUGGAUUAUGUGGAUUAAUUCGAUGCAACGCGAAAAACCUUACCUACCCUUGACAUGUAUCGAAGCCCGCAGAAAAGCGGGGGUGCCCGAAAGGGAACGAUAACACAGGUGCUGCAUGGCUGUCGUCAGCUCGUGUCGUGAGAUGUUGGGUUAAGUCCCGCAACGAGCGCAACCCUUGUCAUUAAUUGCCAUCAUUUAGUUGGGCACUUUAAUGAGACUGCCGG
RNAcentral lists this ribosomal RNA (916 nucleotides) under uncultured bacterium. RNAcentral's name for it is "bacterial SSU rRNA". It matches the Rfam family "Bacterial small subunit ribosomal RNA", at positions 246 to 1155 of the family's 1533-position model. The record is from RNAcentral.